Corvus moneduloides (New Caledonian crow) is the source of this 2481-nucleotide long non-coding RNA. Lineage: Eukaryota; Metazoa; Chordata; Aves; Passeriformes; Corvidae. The record is from Ensembl.
AUGUUCAUCUGUCCAUCCCCCAGCCCUGUGUCCAUCUGUCCAUCCCUCGGUCCCUCCGUGUCCCUCCAUGUUCAUCUGUCCAUCCCCCAGCCCUGUGUCCAUCUGUCCAUCCCUCGGUCCCUCCGUGUCCCCCAGUGUCCCUCUGUCCAUCCCCCAGCCCUCUGUCCAUCUGUCCAUCCCUCAGUCCCUCCAUGUCCCCCAGUGUCCCUCUGUCCAUCCCCCAGCCCUGUGUCCAUCUGUCCAUCCCUCGGUCCCUCCGUGUCCCCCCAUGUCCGUCUCCCCCCCAUGUCCCCGUGCCCAUCCCCCUGUCCAUCCGUCCACCCCGUGUCCCUGUGUCCAUCCUGUGUCUGUCCAUCUGUCCGUUCCCAUGUCUGUCCAUGUGUCCAUCCAUGUGUCCAUCCCCAUGUCCGUGUGUCCAUGCCCAUGUCCAUGUGUCCGUCCCCGUGUCCAUACCCAUGUCCACACCUGUGUCCAUCCCCAUGUCCCCAUGUCCAUCUCCAUGUCUGUGUGUCCAUCCCCGUGUCCAUCCCCGUGUCCAUCCCCAUGUCCAUCCCCGUGUCCAUGUCCAUGUCCGUGUCCAUCCCCGUGUCCGUGCGUCCAUCCCCGUGUCCAUGCGUCCAUCCAUGUGUCCAUCCCCGUGUCCCCAUGUCCAUCCCUAUGUCUGUGUGUCCAUCCCCGUGUCCAUCCCGUGUCCAUGUCCAUGUCCGUGUCCAUCCCCGUGUCCAUCUGUCCAUCCCCGUGUCUGUGUGUCCAUCCCCGUGUCCAUCCCCGUGUCCAUCCCCAUGUCCAUGCCUGUGUCCAUGCCCGUGUCCGUGUGUCCAUCCCCGUGUCUGUGUGUCCAUCCCCAUGUCCAUCCCGUGUCCGUAUGUCCAUCCCCGUGUCCAUCUGUCCAUCCCCGUGUCCGUGUGUCCAUCCCCAUGUCCAUCCCUGUGUCCGUGUGUCCAUCCCCGUGUCCAUCCCCGUGUCCAUCCCCGUGUCCAUCAGCGUGUCCAUCCCCGUGUCCAUCCCCGUGUCCAUCCCGUGUCCGUGUGUCCAUCCCCGUGUCCAUCCCCGUGUCCAUCCCCGUGUCCGUGUGUCCAUCCCGUGUCCGUGUGUCCAUCCCCGUGUCCAUCCCCGUGUCCAUCCCGUGUCCGUGUGUCCAUCCCGUGUCCGUGUGUCCAUCCCGUGUCCGUCCCGUGUCCGUGUGUCCAUCCCCGUGUCCAUCCCCGUGUCCAUCCCCAUGUCCAUCCCGUGUCCGUGUGUCCAUCCCCAUGUCCAUCCCCGUGUCCAUCCCGUGUCCAUCCCCGUGUCCAUCCCGUGUCCGUGUGUCCAUCCCCGUGUCCAUCCCCGUGUCCAUCCCCGUGUCCGUGUGUCUAUCCCCGUGUCCAUCCCCGUCUCCAUCCCUGUGUCCAUCCCCGUGUCCAUCCCCGUGUCCGUGUGUCCAUCCCCAUGUCCAUCCCCAUGUCCAUCCCCGUGUCCAUCCCCGUGUCCAUCCCGUGUCCGUGUGUCCAUCCCCGUGUCCAUCCCCGUGUCCAUCCCCGUGUCCGUGUGUCCAUCCCGUGUCCGUGUGUCCAUCCCCGUGUCCAUCCCCGUGUCCAUCCCGUGUCCGUGUGUCCAUCCCCGUGUCCAUCCCCGUGUCCAUCCCCAUGUCCAUCCCCGUCUCCAUCCCCGUGUCCAUCCCCGUGUCCAUCCCCGUGUCCAUCCCUGUGUCCAUCCCGUGUCCGUGUGUCCAUCCCGUGUCCGUGUGUCCAUCCCCGUGUCCAUCCCCGUCUCCAUCCCCGUCUCCAUCCCCGUGUCCAUCCCCAUGUCCAUCCCCGUGUCCAUCCCCGUGUCCGUGUGUCCAUCCCCGUGUCCAUCCCCGUGUCCAUCCCCGUGUCCAUCCCCGUGUCCGUGUGUCCAUCCCCGUGUCCAUCCCCGUGUCCAUCCCCGUGUCCGUGUGUCCAUCCCUGUGUCCAUCCCCGUGUCCAUCCCCGUGUCCGUGUGUCCAUCCUGUGUCCGAGUGUCCAUCCCCGUGUCCAUCCCCGUGUCCAUCCCCGUCUCCAUCCCCGUGUCCAUCCCCGUGUCCAUCCCCGUGUCCAUCCCCGUGUCCGUGUGUCCAUCCCGUGUCCGUGUGUCCAUCCCCGUGUCCAUCCCGUGUCCGUGUGUCCAUCCCCGUGUCCAUCCCCGUGUCCGUGUGUCCAUCCCGUGUCCGUGUGUCCAUCCCCGUGUCCAUCCCCGUGUCCCGGGUGCCGCUGCCCCUCCCCCGCAGGGUCUGGGGUCUCUGGGGGGUCUCGGGGUCCCCCCGGGCUCGGGGGGGGCCGGAGCCGUUUAAUCUCUUUUCUCUUUGUCUCCUCUCUCGCCCCUCCCCCCCUCCCCCCUCCCCCCCCCGCCCGUGUGACCCCUCCCCGCCCCCCCGCCCCCCCGCCCCCCUCCCGCCCCCCCCGCCCCCCCAGCCGCCCCUCCCCCCGCUCUCUCCCGCCUUUUCUUCCGGUGCUAAAAAGUAGAAGUGGAACAAAAAGGUAA